This 345-nucleotide unclassified non-coding RNA is filed under the name soil metagenome. RNAcentral's name for it is "partial contains 5.8S ribosomal RNA, internal transcribed spacer 2, and large subunit ribosomal RNA". The stretch from base 1 to 120 matches the Rfam family "5.8S ribosomal RNA", at positions 35 to 154 of the family's 154-position model. The record is from RNAcentral.
GAUGAAGAACGUAGCGAAAUGCGAUACGUAAUGUGAAUUGCAGAAUUCAGUGAAUCAUCGAGUCUUUGAACGCACAUUGCGCCCCCUGGUAUUCCGGGGGGCAUGCCUGUCCGAGCGUCAUUGCUGCCCUCAAGCACGGCUUGUGUGUUGGGCCUCCGUCCUCCUCCCGGGGGACGGGCCCGAAAGGCAGCGGCGGCACCGCGUCCGGUCCUCGAGCGUAUGGGGCUUCGUCACCCGCUCUUGUAGGCCCGGCCGGCGCUUGCCGACACAUCAAUCUUUUUUCCAGGAUGACCUCGGAUCAGGUAGGGAUACCCGCUGAACUUAGGCAUAUCAAUAAGCGGAGGA